Molecule: long non-coding RNA, 891 nt
Organism: Clupea harengus (Atlantic herring)
Lineage: Eukaryota; Metazoa; Chordata; Actinopteri; Clupeiformes; Clupeidae
Source: Ensembl
UGUGGAGGUGUGUGGUGGGGUGUGGAGGUGGUGUGGAGGUGGUGUAGUGGUGUGUGGAGGUGUGUAGUGGGGUGUGGAGGUGUGUGGUGGGGUGUGGAGGUGGUGUAGGGGUGUGUAAUGGUGUGUGGAGGUGUGUGGAGGUGGUGUAGUGGUGUGUGGAGGUGGUGUAGUGGGGUGUGGAGGUGGUGUAGUGGUGUGUGGUGGGGUGUGGAGGUGGUGUAGUGGUGUGUGGAGGUGUGUAGUGGUGUGUGGAGGUGGUGUAGUGGGGUGUGGAGGCGUGUGGAGGUGUUGUAGUGGGGUGUGGAGGCGUGUGGAGGUGGUGUAGUGGUGUGUGAAGGCGUGUGGAGGCGUGUGGAGGUGGUGUAGUGGUGUGUGGAGGCGUGUGGAGGUGGUGUAGUGGUGUGUGGAGGCGUGUGGAGGUGGUGUGUGGAGGUGGUGUAGUGGGGUGUGGAGGUGGUGUAGUGGUGUGUGGAGGUGUGUGAUGGGGUGUGGAGGUGGUGUGGUGUGGUGGUGGUGUGUGGAGGUGGUGUGGUGUGGUGGUGGUGUGUGGAGGUGUGUGGAGGUGGUGGUGUGUGGUGGAGGUGGUGUGUGGAGGUGUGUGAUGGGGUGUGGUGGUGUGUGGAGGUGGUGUGUGGAGGUGGUGUAGUGUGGAGGUGGUGUAGUGUGGAGGUGGUGUAGUGGGGUGUGGUGGUGUGUGGAGGUGGUGUAGUGGGGUGUGGUGGUGUAGUGGGGUGUGGGUGUGGAGGGAUAAGAUGAGAUGAGUUCUGUUCUGAUGAGAUGAGAUCUGUUCAGAUGAGAUGAAAUGAGUGGGGAGCGGACAGAUGCAUCUCCUGCAGGGACAUCUCUCUGGAAAAAAUAAAUCAAUUGGCAAAUGUUACACAAACAACUCAG